GAUGAACGCUAGCGGCAGGCCUAACACAUGCAAGUCGAGGGAGAAGCCCUUUCGGGGGCAGAAACCGGCGCACGGGUGCGUAACGCGUAUGCAACCUACCUUUCACAGGGGGAUAGCCCGAAGAAAUUUGGAUUAAUACCCCAUAAUAUUAUUGGAUGGCAUCAUUUGAUAAUUAAAACUGCGGUGGUGAAAGAUGGGCAUGCGUCCUAUUAGCUAGUUGGAGUGGUAACGGCACCCCAAGGCUACGAUAGGUAGGGGUCCUGAGAGGGAGAUCCCCCACACUGGUACUGAGACAGGGACCAGACUCCUACGGGAGGCAGCAGUGAGGAAUAUUGGUCAAUGGUCGGAAGACUGAACCAGCCAUGCCGCGUGCAGGAAGAAUGCCUUAUGGGUUGUAAACUGCUUUUAUAUGGGAAGAAUAAGGUGUACGUGUACAUUGAUGACGGUACCAGAUGAAUAAGCAUCGGCUAACUCCGUG
This 478-nucleotide ribosomal RNA is filed under the name uncultured bacterium. RNAcentral's name for it is "partial 16S ribosomal RNA". It matches the Rfam family "Bacterial small subunit ribosomal RNA", at positions 28 to 507 of the family's 1533-position model. The record is from RNAcentral.